Molecule: ribosomal RNA, 965 nt
Filed under: Chryseobacterium aquaticum
Lineage: Bacteria; Pseudomonadati; Bacteroidota; Flavobacteriia; Flavobacteriales; Weeksellaceae
Description: bacterial SSU rRNA
Rfam family: Bacterial small subunit ribosomal RNA
Source: RNAcentral
AAACUGGUACUGAGACACGGACCAGAUUCCUACGGGAGGCAGCAGUGAGGAAUAUUGGACAAUGGGUGAGAGCCUGAUCCAGCCAUCCCGCGUGAAGGACGACUGCCCUAUGGGUUGUAAACUUCUUUUAUACAGGGAUAAACCUACCCUCGUGAGGGUAGCUGAAGGUACAGUAUGAAUAAGCACCGGCUAACUCCGUGCCAGCAGCCGCGGUAAUACGGAGGGUGCAAGCGUUAUCCGGAUUUAUUGGGUUUAAAGGGUCCGUAGGCGGACUCGUAAGUCAGUGGUGAAAUCUCAUAGCUUAACUAUGAAACUGCCAUUGAUACUGCGGGUCUUGAGUAAAGUAGAAGUGGCUGGAAUAAGUAGUGUAGCGGUGAAAUGCAUAGAUAUUACUUAGAACACCAAUUGCGAAGGCAGGUCACUAUGUUUUAACUGACGCUGAUGGACGAAAGCGUGGGGAGCGAACAGGAUUAGAUACCCUGGUAGUCCACGCCGUAAACGAUGCUAACUCGUUUUUGGGUUUUCGGAUUCAGAGACUAAGCGAAAGUGAUAAGUUAGCCACCUGGGGAGUACGUUCGCAAGAAUGAAACUCAAAGGAAUUGACGGGGGCCCGCACAAGCGGUGGAUUAUGUGGUUUAAUUCGAUGAUACGCGAGGAACCUUACCAAGGCUUAAAUGGGAAUUGACAGGUUUAGAAAUAGAUCCUUCUUCGGACAAUUUUCAAGGUGCUGCAUGGAGGUCGUCAGCUCGUGCCGUGAGGUGUUAGGUUAAGUCCUGCAACGAGCGCAACCCCUGUCACUAGUUGCCAUCAUUCAGUUGGGGACUCUAGUGAGACUGCCUACGCAAGUAGAGAGGAAGGUGGGGAUGACGUCAAAUCAUCACGGCCCUUACGCCUUGGGCCACACACGUAAUACAAUGGCCGGUACAGAGGGCAGCUACUAUGCGAAUAGAUGCGAAUCUCGAAAG